This is a long non-coding RNA of Populus nigra (black poplar), 823 nucleotides long. RefSeq lists it as uncharacterized. NCBI's taxonomy places the organism in Eukaryota, Viridiplantae, Streptophyta, Magnoliopsida, Malpighiales, Salicaceae. The transcript has 2 exons. The record is from RefSeq and is a predicted model, not a curated record.
CUCCUAUACUUUGUUCCGUUUUUCAUUUUCCAUAUAAGGUUUGAGAAAUCACGGUUUCCUCCAUGGUCAACAGGACAAAUCAAAUUAGAAGAAACCUCGUAUUUAAUAAAUAUAAAUCUGCACAAUUUUCUCACCAACCUCAUUUCUCUCUUCCAAACAUGAUUUCUCUCUACAGUUUAUUUCUCUCUAAAAACACUAGGACGGGUGAUAAUCAAAUCAUGAAGGCUUUGUCCAUACUGAGCAAGAAGGAGAAGAAGGCCUGCUCAACCUUUUGGAUCGGUGGGAUGCUCUAGCUUUAAGAGGGAGGAGCAGAUAGUCCAUCGUCGAUCGAGACUUUAUAAACUUUUCGGUAAGAAGGAUGUGGUGAUAUAUCAGUAAAGGAGGGAGUUAAGGUAGUGGUAUCCGCCUUUGCAGCUGGCUGUCAUCGAUAGUCGGUCAUCGAUUGAGAUGGUAGAUAGCAUUUAUGCUUUUGAUGACAGGAUUGCCAAUGGUCAAAAUCACAAGGGCAUCGAACCACCUUCUCCUUGGCAUGAACCGGUCUCCCUUGGCUCUUCCAUAGGCUUGGAGUUGGUUGAAUCUGGUUUUUGUUGAAUGCUCCAAUAGAUGAAUUUCGUGGAACAAAUUUGUACUUGUAGAGGUUUCUUGGUUCUUCUAAUAUUUCCCUCUCUAGUAAGGUUUAUGCUCCAGAUUCCUCUGUGUAAUUACAUGCUAGAUUUCAUAAUACAAGCAAUUGUUUGUUCAAAUUUGAUCACAAUUUCUAUUUCUGGUGUAUACAAAUUGUGUUGAGUUGUUCUAUGGUAGUUUUGGCUCAAAUAUUGAUGUU